GUACAAUAAGCAAAAUAAGGGCGUAUGGGGGAUGCCUUGGCUCUCAGAGGCGAUGAAAGGCGUGAUAAGCUGCGAAAAGUUACGGGGAUCGGCACACACGACUUGAUCCGUAAAUACCUGAAUGGGGCAACCCACUAUGUUGAAGACAUAGUACACCGAUAGGUGGGCAAACCCGCUGAACUGAAACAUCUAAGUAGGCGGAGGAGAAGAAAACAAAAGUGAUUCCGUAAGUAGUGGCGAGCGAACGCGGAUUAGCCCAAACCAAUGUUGUUACGGCAAUGUUGGGGUUGUAGGACCACGACAUUUUAUGUACAAGGAACCGGAAGUUACUGGAAAGUGACGCCAAAGAGGGUGAUAGCCCCGUAUGGGUAACGAGUAUAAUAGAUAGUGGUAUCCUGAGUAGGGCGGGGCACGUGAAACCCUGUCUGAAUUUGGCGGGACCAUCCGCUAAGGCUAAAUACUCCUGAGAGACCGAUAGUGAACCAGUACCGUGAGGGAAAGGUGAAAAGAACCGUGAAUAACGGAGUGAAAUAGAUCCUGAAACCAUACGCUUACAAGCGGUCGGAGCCCUUUCGUGGGGUGACGGCGUGCCUUUUGCAUAAUGAGCCUACGAGUUAACGUUGCUGGCAAGGUUAAGUGGUUAAGCCACGGAUCCGUAGCGAAAGCGAGUCUGAAUAGGGCGCUUUAGUCAGUAGUGUUAGACGCGAAACCGUGUGAUCUACCCAUGGGCAGGAUGAAGCUGUGGUAACACACAGUGGAGGUCCGAACCGGUUGACGUUGAAAAGUCUUCGGAUGACCUGUGGGUAGGGGUGAAAGGCCAAUCAAACUCGGAAAUAGCUCGUACUCCCCGAAAUGCAUUUAGGUGCAGCGCUGAAUUUAAGUUAUAUAGAGGUAGAGCUACUGAUUGGAUGCGGGGGCUUCACCGCCUACCAAUUCCUGACAAACUCCGAAUGCUAUAUAAUGUUUCUCAGCAGUGAGGGCUUGGGUGCUAAGGUCCAAGUCCGAGAGGGAAAGAACCCAGACCAUCAGCUAAGGUCCCCAAAUAUACGCUAAGUUGAAAGAACGAGGUUUGUCUGCCCAGACAGCUAGGAUGUUGGCUUGGAAGCAGCCAUUCAUUUAAAGAGUGCGUAACAGCUCACUAGUCGAGCGGACGAGCAUGGAUAAUAAUCGGGCAUAAGCGUAUUACCGAAGCUAUGGAUUUACAAGCAAUUGUAAGUGGUAGGGGAGCAUUCCAGCAGGGUUGAAGGUGUAUCGUAAGGUAUGCUGGACUGGCUGGAAAAGAAAAUGUAGGCAUAAGUAACGAUAAUGCGGGCGAGAAACCCGCACACCGAAAAACUAAGGUUUCCACAGCUAUGCUAAUCAGCUGUGGGUUAGUCUGGUCCUAAGGCGAACCCGAAAGGGACAGUCGAUGGCUAACGGGUUAAUAUUCCCGUACUACUAAUUACUGUGAUGGGGUGACGGAGUGAUGAAAGCGCCGCGAACUGACGGAAUAGUUCGUUGAAGUACCUACCUAUAAGAUNNNNNNNNNNNNNNNNNNNNNNNNNNNNNNNNNNNNNNNNGGCCGCAGUGAAGAGGUCCAGGCGACUGUUUAUCAAAAACACAGGGCUCUGCAAAAUCGUAAGAUGAAGUAUAGGGCCUGACACCUGCCCGGUGCUGGAAGGUUAAGAGGAGAUGUUAUCUUCGGAGAAGCAUUGAAUUGAAGCCCCAGUAAACGGCGGCCGUAACUAUAACGGUCCUAAGGUAGCGAAAUUCCUUGUCGGGUAAGUUCCGACCUGCACGAAUGGUGUAACGAUCUGGACACUGUCUCAGCCAUGAGCUCGGUGAAAUUGUAGUAACGGUGAAGAUGCCGUUUACCCGCAGUGGGACGAAAAGACCCUGUGCACCUUUACUAUAGCUUAGUAUUGACCUUGGAUAAAUGAUGUGUAGGAUAGGUUGGAGACUGUGAAGUGGCGUCGCCAGGCGUUGUGGAGUCAUUGUUGAAAUACAACCCUUUGUUUAUCUGAGGCCUAACCCCGUUUUACGGGGGACAUUGCUUGGUGGGUAGUUUGACUGGGGUGGUCGCCUCCAAAAGAGUAACGGAGGCUUCUAAAGGUUCCCUCAGUACGCUUGGUAACCGUGCGUAGAGUGCAAUGGCAUAAGGGAGCUUGACUGAGAGACAUACAGGUCGAUCAGGUACGAAAGUAGAGCAUAGUGAUCCGGUGGUUCCGCAUGGAAGGGCCAUCGCUCAAAGGAUAAAAGGUACGCCGGGGAUAACAGGCUGAUCUCCCCCAAGAGCUCAUAUCGACGGGGGGGUUUGGCACCUCGAUGUCGGCUCGUCACAUCCUGGGGCUGGAGAAGGUCCCAAGGGUUGGGCUGUUCGCCCAUUAAAGUGGCACGCGAGCUGGGUUCAGAACGUCGUGAGACAGUUCGGUCUCUAUCUACUGUGGGCGUUAGAAAUUUGAGUGGAUCUGAUUCUAGUACGAGAGGACCGAAUUGGACAAACCUCUAGUGUAUCUGUUGUCCCGCCAGGGGCACCGCAGAGUAGCUACGUUUGGAAGGGAUAAGCGCUGAAAGCAUAUAAGCGCGAAACCCACCACAAGAUGAGAUUUCUUUUAAGGAUCGUGGAAGAUGACCACGUUGAUAGGCUAUAGAUGUAAAGGCAGUAAUGUCAUAGUCGAGUAGUACUAAUAAUCCGUAAGCUUAUGUACACCC
RNAcentral lists this ribosomal RNA (2691 nucleotides) under Flavobacterium frigidimaris. RNAcentral describes it as "bacterial LSU rRNA". It matches the Rfam family "Bacterial large subunit ribosomal RNA". Lineage: Bacteria; Pseudomonadati; Bacteroidota; Flavobacteriia; Flavobacteriales; Flavobacteriaceae. The record is from RNAcentral.